ACAAGCGGUGGAGUAUGUGGUUAAUUCGAUGCAACGCGAAGAACCUACCUGGUCUUGACAUCCCGGAGACCCUUAGGAAACUAGGGGGUGCUUCCAUCUGGAAGAAUCUGGAGACAGGUGCUGCAUGGCUGUCGUCAGCUCGUGUCGUGAGAUGUUGGGUUAAGUCCCGCAACGAGCGCAACCCUUGCCUUUAGUUGCCAGCAGUUCGGCUGGGCACUCUAAAGGGACUGCCGGUGUUAAACCGGAGGAAGGUGGGGAUGACGUCAAGUCCUCAUGGCCUUUAUGACCAGGGCUACACACGUACUACAAUGGCCGAUACAAAGGGCAGCGACACUGCGAGGUGAAGCCAAUCCCGUAAAAUCGGUCUCAGUCCGGAUUGGAGUCUGCAACUCGACUCCAUGAAGUUGGAAUCGCUAGUAAUCGUGGAUCAGCAUGCCACGGUGAAUACGUUCCCGGGCCUU
RNAcentral lists this ribosomal RNA (461 nucleotides) under uncultured Desulfobulbus sp. RNAcentral describes it as "bacterial SSU rRNA". It matches the Rfam family "Bacterial small subunit ribosomal RNA", at positions 925 to 1382 of the family's 1533-position model. The record is from RNAcentral. Lineage: Bacteria; Pseudomonadati; Thermodesulfobacteriota; Desulfobulbia; Desulfobulbales; Desulfobulbaceae.